AGGAUGAGGUCGUGUGACACUGUUAUCCCCUCCUCCGGAUCCCGACUCUUCCUUGUUCUAUUAGGAUUCUACCGAACUUUCAGAUUAGGAAAAGAAUUACUCCUAUCACAAUAUAUAUAUGUGUUUAUAUAUAGGUCAAUACAGUGUCUUCUCUUUCAUAAUUGUUCUAUUGGUUUGCAUCGCCAAAUUAUUGCAGGCUUCAGUGCUAUUGGUUAUGGAUAUGGACUCAUUGUCGGGGUCAGAUUGGGCAUGGCUUCCGAAGCACUUAUUGGAUACGAUUCUGGACAAAUUGGUUUCACUUUCCAAUUAUGUUCAUUUUGGUGCGGUCUGUAGAGAAUGGCAGUCUGUGGUAAUGGAGAAGAAGUGUUGCACACAAGUUCCAUUUUUAAUGGUCCCUACAGAAGAUAAUAGCGAGGAAAGACGCAGUCUAUACAGCAUUACUCACAAUAAAUUAUAUGAUUUUCAGUUAAGGGUACCUUAUAAAAAGAGGCUUUCUGGUUCCUCACAUGGUUGGUUGUUUACUGUUGAAGAAUCCUUUGCCUUGACCCUAAUCAAUCCGUUCUCUGGCGCUAUGGUUGAGCUUCCUCCAAUUAUGGACCGCUCAAUAUUUGAACCACAAGAAAUUGAAUAUGAUAGUGAAGAUGAUUUCGAAUACGUGUAUACCCCUGUCGAGGUUGAGUUCGAAGUUAUGAAGGCUACAUUGUCUGCUGACCCUGCUUCGUCUCCUAAUAACUAUAUUGUAAGCGCGAUCUAUGAUGAUCAGAGAAGACUGGCUUUCAUUCUGCCCGGAGACAAAGCUUGGACUUACAUAGAUCAGAAAUUUACCCUCAUCCAUGAUGUCAUUUAUUAUAGAGGCCAGAUUCUUGCAGUAGAUUAUUGGAGUGGAAUCAUAAUGGUUGAUCUUAAUAGAAGGGCUGGGGAGAGUAAGGUUCCCCAAGUGGAGGUAAUUGCACCGCGGACUUAUCUGGGCUCUGAAAGACGGAUGUAUCUUGUGGAAUCAUCUAGCGGAGAUUUACUCCUUGUUGAAAGGUUUCUAAAAUAUGGAGACGAUUCACAGCAUUCAACUUUUAAGUUUAAGGUUUUCAAGAUGCUUUUACAGCAAACUGAGAAGGGUUUGGCUAAGCGGGUUGAAGUGAAGAGCUUGGGCGGAGACAGCCUGUUUCUUGGAGAUAACCAUUCCAUUUGUGUUUCAGCUUCCAAAUGGCCCGGGUGCCGGCCAAAUUCCAUAUACUACACCGAUGACUAUAUUGACAUCUUACACCAUCUCCCAGAUGGUCGCCGCGACGUUGGUAUCUUCAACAUAGAAAAUGGAAGCUUUGGGACGCAUUACAUUCUUGAUCCUUCACAUAAGCAUAUGCCGCCCUCAAUUUGGAUUGUGCCAACUAUGUCAAGAAAUUCAGCACAGAACUUCAAGAUCAGCAGGAAAAAACCAGCAAAAUGCAGCAGAUGUGCAGCACUUCGUGCAGUAUAUAACACACACACACACACACACACACAUAUAUUUCUUUCUGUGCGUUCUGUCAGUUUUUUGUCUCUAUUACUAGAUUACCGCAGAUCUUUGUUGUGCUUACCAUUUUUCCUUCAGUUUGAUUUGACAACAGUGGAAGAAGAUUUCUCCAGCUGUACUUAUGGUUCUCCACAUGGUGUCCCUUCAAAAAGACCAUCUUGUUUGUUGCGAUUUUUACACGAAAUACGCAUUGAUCUCACUUAACAAAAUAAUUUAAGUUUGAUUUGACAACAGUGGAAGAAGAUUGCUCCAGUUGUAUUUAUGGUUCUCCACAUAGUGUCCCUCCAAAAAGACCAUCUCGUUUGUUGCGAUUUUUACACAAAAUACGCAUUGAUCUCACUUAACAAAAUAAUUUAAGAAUGGUUUGCUGGGUUUUCUUGCUAGGCUGCUCUAAUGAGUUUACUUCAGAGUGAAUGAGACAGAGAAAUACGUUCAUCUGAAUGUGCAGAGAACUGGAACAAUCAAGGAAGAGAUUGCGAGGCUGAAAAAGAAGUGUGCGUCUCGAGCUUCAUAUUCUUGGGGAAUGCCUAAUUUGCUUUGGAAUUUUAUUUGUUUUUCUUGUAUGUGUUCUCAAUACUUACACUAGCAAAUACAUUUAGCAUUUCUGUUGUAACACUUAGCAGUUAAAAAUAACUUUUAAUUGUGGCCCUGUU
Molecule: RNA transcript, 2160 nt
Organism: Cornus florida
Lineage: Eukaryota; Viridiplantae; Streptophyta; Magnoliopsida; Cornales; Cornaceae
Gene name: putative F-box protein At5g55150
Exons: 5
Source: RefSeq, a predicted model, not a curated record